GCUACGUGGGCUGAUUUCUACUCCUAUUCAUUUUGUGAGCCAUCUAUUAAUCUAUUUUAUUAGUAAAUUAUAUGUACACAAAUGGAGAAAAAUGCAAAAAAAGGAGAUAAAAGAUAAUUAUAAAUGUUGGCCAUAGAGAGGUGCCACAUCAUUUUAUCUAUGCCUAACUUUAUAUUAUAUAUAGAUUGACACAAAUUAACCCCGAAAAACCAUCCAACUUAGAACAAACAAUUAAACCCCAAAAACCAUUCGACUCCUUCGAUUCUUCCAUUGCAUCAGUCGAAUCACACACAAAUUAACCUAUUCCUUCACUAUAUUUCUCUAUUAAUCGAUUCUUAGGUUGUUUAUGGUUGGGUUUUCAAUUGAUUUUCAUCGAAGCUUUGAGAGUCCAUUCCCGGAACAACCCAACAUUUUAGACGACAUGUGCAGAUACCUAAGCACUCGUUUGAGUGCUUUCCAAUGUACUUUAGAUGGGGAGUGCAUAAAUUGUGACAAUUUAUUCACCGAGAAGCUGAUGUCUGGACAAGCGAACGAUAAGUACUGGAGUUUUCCAAGAACUAUUGUAGCGAGUGGCAUCAGUCGGUUCUGCUCCAUCAUUUAGUUGGAGCACUUCAGUGGCACUCAUUGGGGUUUUAGCAUGUUUGCAGUCCUUCAUGUUUUCUUCACAGAGGAUUUUAUUGAUGUAAUUUGAUUGUGAUAAUGUAAUCUUAUCUGCAACACAGAGCACCUCAACUCCAAGAAAAUAUUAAGGUUCCCGAGAUCCUUGAUGGAAAAA
Long non-coding RNA from Lycium barbarum (goji berry), 775 nucleotides. RefSeq lists it as uncharacterized. Lineage: Eukaryota; Viridiplantae; Streptophyta; Magnoliopsida; Solanales; Solanaceae. The transcript is spliced from 2 exons. The record is from RefSeq and is a predicted model, not a curated record.